GACGAACGCUGGCGGCGUGCUUAACACAUGCAAGUCGAACGCUGAAGCACCAGCUUGCUGGUGUGGAUGAGUGGCGAACGGGUGAGUAAUACGUGAGUAACCUGCCCUUGACUCUGGGAUAAGCCCGGGAAACUGGGUCUAAUACUGGAUGCUACAUGUCACCGCAUGGUGGUGUGUGGAAAGGGUUUACUGGUCUUGGAUGGGCUCACGGCCUAUCAGCUUGUUGGUGAGGUAAUGGCUCAACAAGGCGACGACGGGUAGCCGGCGUGAGAGGGUGACCGGCCACACUGGGACUGAGACACGGCCCAGACUCCUACGGGAGGCAGCAGUGGGGAAUAUUGCUCAAUGGGCGAAAGCCUGAUGCAGCGACGCCGCGUGCGGGAUGACGGCCUUCGGGUUGUAAACCUCUUUCAGCAGGGAAGAAGCCACAAGUGACGGUACCUGCAGAAGAAGCGCCGGCUAACUACGUG
Molecule: ribosomal RNA, 470 nt
Filed under: uncultured bacterium
Lineage: Bacteria
Description: partial 16S ribosomal RNA
Rfam family: Bacterial small subunit ribosomal RNA
Source: RNAcentral